UACGUAGGGUGCGAGCGUUGUCCGGAAUUAUUGGGCGUAAAGGGCUCGUAGGCGGUUUGUCGCGUCGGGAGUGAAAACCAGGUGCUUAACACCUGGCUUGCUUUCGAUACGGGCAGACUAGAGGUAUGCAGGGGAGAACGGAAUUCCUGGUGUAGCGGUGAAAUGCGCAGAUAUCAGGAGGAACACCGGUGGCGAAGGCGGGUCUCUGGACAGUUCCUGACGCUGAGGCACGAAGGUCAGGGGAGCAAACGGG
This 253-nucleotide ribosomal RNA is filed under the name uncultured bacterium. RNAcentral's name for it is "partial 16S ribosomal RNA". It matches the Rfam family "Bacterial small subunit ribosomal RNA", at positions 524 to 776 of the family's 1533-position model. The record is from RNAcentral.